Homo sapiens (human) is the source of this 1225-nucleotide long non-coding RNA. Ensembl annotates it as STARD13 antisense RNA. Its record names the gene STARD13-AS. NCBI's taxonomy places the organism in Eukaryota, Metazoa, Chordata, Mammalia, Primates, Hominidae. The record is from Ensembl.
GGGGGAGAAUGGGCAUCCCACCCCAGCACUUUCUAGGAAGAAGGGCAGCAUUUUGAAGGGCUGGAAGUAGAGGAAGGAGGUUGCGGGUAGAAGACUCCAUACUUUCUGUGACGCCUAUUCCUUAGCUUGUGAUGAAUGUUUUCUCAGUAUCCUAUGCUGAAAACAGGUAGAUACUAAUAUCGAUCUUCAAGGGAGGGCUGUUGAGUAUUGAAUAAGACAAAAACAUGGAAGCAAUCAGCACCAUGCUGGAAUCAAGGCUAUCUGUAAUCACAGGGCUAUUUGAAAAAGAGAAGAAAAGGUGUCUUGAAAUUCAACCAACAUGUUUCAAUUAUUUGCUCCUAAGAACAACAGAAGUUUCAACAUUCUGCCAACAGAGUAACUCCUGGAAGAUUGGCACAGAAGAAGGCACAAGGAGAGCCUUUAUAUAACCAAAGAUAUUUUUGGACCAUGAAUUCAGAAAUUCUCGGAGCCACCCAUCAGUGCCUGAGCUUCAGUGAGUCCAUAUCCCAUGUCACCCACGGCAAAGGAGACUCUAAGACUUCUGAAGAGUUUCUUGCUUCUUUCCUGUGGGGCAGUGACUCCACUUCCCAGCAGUAAUGGAAUAUCCUGAAUUAGCUACAUUAAUGUUAGAACCAUUUGGACCUCACCCAGGACUUCAACUACAUUAUGGUUCUAGUAUGUUACGUUUAUGUUCCCCUGCUUUCUACAAUCCUGUUCAAAGAGUUGCUGACUUAACCACAGAGAGGAUUCCAGAACCUGAGACACAGAAUAAACUUGAGCAAUCAUAGUCCAUCCACUUCAUUGUCUCAUCAAAAACCAAAGGUCCAGUGAAGCUCUGGAACUCAACGCUGUAAAGGAGCGAAGGAGCUUCUAUACAGAGCCUGGAUGCCUGUCUCCUUAUCCUACUUCAGUGGACUUGACUGCAAUCCGGAUUAUGCUGUUUUCUAAGCAUUUAAAAUAAAAUAAAAAGUAUAAUAGUGUGAUAAGUUCUUUCACAAAGCAAGCAAUCACAUUUAUGUUUCUACUUACAUUUGGGUUUUCCAAAUAUGUGUGUGUGUGUGUGUGUGUGUGUGUGUGUGUGUAUGUAGACUUUAAACAUGGUGCAUCCAUCAUGUUGCACUAAAUCAAAACCACCAAAUAAUGAUGUAGAACUAAUAAAUCAAAACCAUCAAAUAAUGACAUAGAAAUCCAAUUCUCCCACCUUACACCCAUUAAGAUGGCUACU